This is a long non-coding RNA of Papaver somniferum (opium poppy), 1972 nucleotides long. RefSeq lists it as uncharacterized. The transcript is spliced from 12 exons. The record is from RefSeq and is a predicted model, not a curated record. NCBI's taxonomy places the organism in Eukaryota, Viridiplantae, Streptophyta, Magnoliopsida, Ranunculales, Papaveraceae.
AUCCAAAAUCGCCCCCAUCAAAUAUUUUCUCCCUAAGUCGAUCGAUUGUAAAUGAAUACGCAUGCUAGAUUUCAGAUCUAUUCUUCUUCUUUUGAUUCCAAACCCUAAAUUGACCAAAACUUGUCUUAAGGAUGUUACCAGAAAUGAAUACCUUUUCUUAUUGAGUUUGAAUAACCUAAUUUCAGAAGAAGAUUGAGGUACACACACCUAUAAGAUUCAUAGAAGAAUCAGGUUAAUUGCUUCCAUGCACUGCGGAGGAUCGAGCCUUUUCAAGCAAGGACUUUCUUCGUUUUUUAAUAACAAUUACCAACAUACUUCUACGAUUAUACAAAAGUUCAAAAUCUGUUGUCAAGUCAUGGAGUAUUACCAUUGUCUCUUUUCUAGGUGAGACUAAUCACAUGGUUUACUACCUGAGGCAUGCAUUCACGAUGAAGUGUUACUCUCAGCUUUCCUCAACUAGUUAUCAACAGUCUUGCCUGGUCUAUUACCAAAUUUGUCCGUUUCCAUUUGUGAGAUGCAAGAAAAAUUCAGGUGGUUCAAUUGCAGCAAAGAAAAUGUGGAGAGUAUAUUGUACUCUAGUCGUAGGUAUUCCCAUCUUAUCAUUCCAGCAUCCCUGGCAACAAUAUCAAAUUGGUUCCUUAGAUAGCACAAAGAAAAUAAGUACCAUAGGAUCUCAACUCAGAUGCGGUGUUUGGCUUCAACCAAUUCAACCUUGAUUUCUCAAGAUUCAGUACAUGCGUUAUUUGCAACGGGUUCAUCUAGAACUCAGCAUCCCUGCCAAGGAACAAGAUUUAUUGUUAGAGCUGAAAGUUUGAGUAUGGGUUUACUUUUUACUCUUCCUUUGGGCCAGAGCACUUCUCCAAAAGAAUAUCGAUAAUGCUAAAGCAAGCAUGCUUAUUUACAAUUCUUAAGGGACCUGGUGACGGUAAAACAGGUCACUAUCACUCUGCUGUACAACUGGGAUGUUUACCAGUGCAGGAUUAAACAUGUUACUACCAUUGCUGUCAGAGACUCGCGAAGUUUUCUAUCGCUUAACCUUUACGUAGUUACCCUAGUCAAAGGUCUGGUAUGAUUGCACACUGGGAACUUUUUACACAUAAUGAAAUCGAAGUUGUCUUAUGUAAAUGGAAGGAACUACAUAAGGGAGUUUAGAGGACCCCAAAGUCAAGCUCAGCAAGAUUUCCGUCUUAAGUAUCAUUGUUGGUCUUCCGUUGAUGUGAUUCAACCACUGAAGUUUGAAAUAUUUGAAUUUGAAUCUGGAUUUUAACAUACUUAUUUCACAUCAUUGGGGUAUAGCUUUCCUACUGACUUGGCAAUCUUCAGAAGAAGAAAAUGGAAGCUUUAUUUUAGGUGGUGCUGGACUAAAGAAAAGUGGAAGGAUCGGAACAAGAUGCUCUAGUAAAGGUGCUAUUAUUAAGGAAAUCAAGAAGAUAGUUGGAUAAGCAUAAUAUGAUUUGAGUGAACAAGUUGUAGGUAAUUUCUUAAAUUCUUAAAUUCAAGUAUAGAAGUUAUGAACUUUUAGGUUUCCAUAUGGCUCUAACCUAAGAAAUGAAUAAUCAAUGUUGACUCUCAUUUCCUGACGUGUAAGAUCACCGAAAUAUACUUGCGCAAAUAAAACUCUUCGCUGUAGCGGUCGUAGCUGAGGAAGAGCCAUCUCUACCGGUGCUGGAGCGGGAGCCUCCGAUUCUGGUGAAGGAUGGGAGGAGCGUCCGUUUAUGGUAGUCAUAUCAAUAAAUGGGGGUUGGGAAGGUGUAGAGGUAGUGUUUUACACCAGAAAUCACCUUUUUCAACUGAUCAGAUCUGUUGUCAACAAAGGAUCCUACCUGUCGGAAGACCUGUCGUGUUGUAAGGUAUCGAAAACCUUAAUCGGUGGUGAUCUACUGUCAAUAAUUAUCAAUUAGGAACUACGCAUUUUACUUGUCAAUAUUUUUUGACGGGCGUUACUUAUCCUUAACUCCAAAUUUAAUUUCCA